CAAUAGCGUAUAUUAAAGUUGUUGCAGUUAAAAAGCUCGUAGUUGGACCUUGGACCUGGACAGGCGGUCCGCCUCACGGCGAGUACUGUCUUGCUGGGUCUUUCCUCUUGGUGAUCUGUUGUUUCGGCAGCAGGGAACCAGGACCUUUACUUUGAAAAAAUUAGAGUGUUCAAAGCAGGCUCGACGCCGGAAUAUAUUAGCAUGGAAUAAUAAGAUAGGACGUGCGGUUCUAUUUUGUUGGUUUUUGGAAUCGCCGUAAUGAUUAAUAGGGACAGUCGGGGGCAUUAGUACUCACAUGCUAGAGGUGAAAUUCUUGGAUUUUGUGAAGACUAACUUCUGCGAAAGCAUUUGCCAAGGAUGUUUUCAUUA
This 369-nucleotide ribosomal RNA is filed under the name uncultured eukaryote. RNAcentral's name for it is "partial 18S ribosomal RNA". It matches the Rfam family "Eukaryotic small subunit ribosomal RNA", at positions 592 to 975 of the family's 1831-position model. The record is from RNAcentral.